AAUGUGUUUUUCAAGGGGGUAAAACUUGUACGCCGCAGUCAACCGUGAAAAUCACGGUUUUUCGCAUAUAACUAGAAAUUUAGGGAAAAAUAACAUGUUAUUUUCAGAUAUAUAGAAGAAAAUACCUUACUGUUGAUAAUUAUGUAAGUUUCGUUGAAAUAAACAACAUAUUUCACAUGAAAUUCUGACUUUGUUGUGAUCGCGGGCGAGGAUCGCGGGUGUUUUGUUUCCUCCCGUACCCGUACUAAGGGGACAUAACUUCGUCAAGACUCGUGCUAAAUAUGCAUAAUAUGUAAAAACCUCCACCACCAUCAUCAUAUGGGGAAAAUAGAAAAGUUUUAAAAAACAGUAUUACCAAAUGUGCAACAACAGAAAAACGGGGUUGACUGUGGGGUUUUUGCUAUUGCUAACUUGGUAGAAUUUUGUUUCAAUGGGUUUAACGGGAGUGAAGAGUUAGAGUUUGACACCACUUGCAUGAGACAACAUCUUGUAGAAUGUAUUUCCAAUGGAAUCUUUACUAAGUUUCCUAGGAAAAAAAUGAGUAGGCAUAGGCAAAAGAAAACUUCUUUAUCAUUUGAUAUUUUUAUUGAUUGCGAAGCAGAUGGGUGUCACAUCUCAAAUGUAUUUGAUGAUAUGGUUUCUUGUGAUGCUGGCUGUGACAGAUGGUUUCAUAAUAGAUGUGUAAGUGAUCUGUCAGAUUUACAUAUAUAUGAUGAGGUAAUACAUACAUAUCAUAUUAGACAUUCAUAUUUUUUCAUUUUUUUAUUAGAUUUAUAUUAAUCUUUAUCAGGAUGUGAGAUUAUAUCUACACUGAGUACCGGUAGUAUAAUUUGUAGUGAUGGUAGUGAAGGUGAUGGUAGUGAAGGUGACGGUUGUAAAGGUGGACCAUUGGGUAGUGUCAGUACAGGAGGUAGAUAGUGGGGAAGUAUACAUUCUUGAUAGUUUGAUAGGAAAUACGAAAAAUUUGUCAGCUUCUUUAGAAAUGCAGUUGUCAUCAUCGUAUGAGGAAAAUAGAUGAGUUUUAAAAACAGUAUUACCAAAUAAGCAACAACA
Mizuhopecten yessoensis (Yesso scallop) is the source of this 1053-nucleotide long non-coding RNA. RefSeq lists it as uncharacterized. The transcript has 3 exons. Lineage: Eukaryota; Metazoa; Mollusca; Bivalvia; Pectinida; Pectinidae. The record is from RefSeq and is a predicted model, not a curated record.